GACGAACGCUGGCGGCGUGCCUAAUACAUGCAAGUAGAACGCUGAAGGAGGAGCUUGCUUCUCUGGAUGAGUUGCGAACGGGUGAGUAACGCGUAGGUAACCUGCCUGGUAGCGGGGGAUAACUAUUGGAAACGAUAGCUAAUACCGCAUAAGAGUGGAUGUUGCAUGACAUUUGCUUAAAAGGUGCACUUGCAUCACUACCAGAUGGACCUGCGUUGUAUUAGCUAGUUGGUGGGGUAACGGCUCACCAAGGCGACGAUACAUAGCCGACCUGAGAGGGUGAUCGGCCACACUGGGACUGAGACACGGCCCAGACUCCUACGGGAGGCAGCAGUAGGGAAUCUUCGGCAAUGGACGGAAGUCUGACCGAGCAACGCCGCGUGAGUGAAGAAGGUUUUCGGAUCGUAAAGCUCUGUUGUAAGAGAAGAAUGAGUGUGAGAGUGGAAAGUUCACACUGUGACGGUAUCUUACCAGAAAGGGACGGCUAACUA
RNAcentral lists this ribosomal RNA (491 nucleotides) under uncultured Streptococcus sp. RNAcentral's name for it is "bacterial SSU rRNA". It matches the Rfam family "Bacterial small subunit ribosomal RNA", at positions 28 to 503 of the family's 1533-position model. The record is from RNAcentral. Lineage: Bacteria; Bacillati; Bacillota; Bacilli; Lactobacillales; Streptococcaceae.